This 459-nucleotide ribosomal RNA is filed under the name Triticum aestivum (bread wheat). RNAcentral's name for it is "partial small subunit ribosomal RNA". The record is from RNAcentral. Lineage: Eukaryota; Viridiplantae; Streptophyta; Magnoliopsida; Poales; Poaceae.
AUGGAUGGGCCUGAUGUUUCUCGACUCUGUGAGAUGCUUGACACCAUCUGGGCAGAGCUGCCGGGGCAAGAAGUGGUAUAUCCAUGGGUUGAGUGGAUACGUAGUUCUUCUUUGCCGCACCUCGGGUUUGAUCGCACAAUAACAUUAGGUCCAGAUGUUCCUACGCACAAAGGAGAUAACCGUGCGAUCUCGAGAAGUCUCUCGUUGGAGUCUGUAAUCCCUUCCAUGCUCAGUUACAGUAGUACGAAGUGCUAUCAAGUUUUUCUUGAGGAUCUCCAUAUGUGCAUGAUUUGCCUUAACCAGACUAAUGGUUCAAAUUUCAUCAGACUUCCGUGCGAGCACUUCUUUUGUGUCAAGUGCAUGGAGACAUUAUGCAAGAUGCAUGUGAAGGAAGGUACUCUGUUUCAGUUGAUAUGCCCUGAUACCAAGUGCACUGCUUCUAUCCACCGUAUUUGUUAA